This 253-nucleotide ribosomal RNA is filed under the name uncultured bacterium. RNAcentral describes it as "partial 16S ribosomal RNA". It matches the Rfam family "Bacterial small subunit ribosomal RNA", at positions 524 to 776 of the family's 1533-position model. The record is from RNAcentral.
UACGUAGGGCGCAAGCGUUGUCCGGAAUUAUUGGGCGUAAAGAGCUCGUAGGCGGUUUGUCACGUCGGAUGUGAAAGCCCGGGGCUUAACCCCGGGUCUGCAUUCGAUACGGGCAGACUAGAGUGUGGUAGGGGAGAUCGGAAUUCCUGGUGUAGCGGUGAAAUGCGCAGAUAUCAGGAGGAACACCGGUGGCGAAGGCGGGUCUCUGGGCAACAACUGACGCUGAGGAGCGAAAGCGUGGGGAGCGAACAGG